ACAAGAUGUUGUUAACCUGCUUCCAACUCUUAAUCAAUGCCAUCCAUACAGUAGAUUCCGAUGGGUUGCUUUUCAAAUCUGAGCCUUCAAUGUUUGUUUGACAGAGCAUAGAAAAGUUGCUAGAGAUAACAGAUGCAGCCAUGGAGAGGAACAUGAAGAGAUUUAUGUUUUCUGAUGUAUUUUAUUUAAAAUUGUAUACAAUGUGUACAAUUCAUUGUAUAAAUUAUAAAUACGUGGUUGUAGGUGUUUGAAAUGUUUUUUUUUUUUAAUUUAUUCUCCAAAUUAAGCCACUGAUGUUGGUGGCAUUGAAAAAACACACUGAUUCUGUAACAGUGGGAAAGAGAAAGGUGUAUUGCUGCAUUGGGUUUUGGUAUGCCACUGAUGUUUUAUCAGUGUGGAUUGCCCCAAUAGCACCUACAAUAGAGGGCACUGAUUCUUCAUUAGUGGCUGCAUAGUGGCUAAUUGCAUUAGCCAAUUUUAUCAGUGUGUAUUGGGACAAAAGGGACUAAUUCCUAUUGGUGUGUAAUGGG
Molecule: long non-coding RNA, 530 nt
Organism: Rosa rugosa (rugosa rose)
Lineage: Eukaryota; Viridiplantae; Streptophyta; Magnoliopsida; Rosales; Rosaceae
Exons: 2
Source: RefSeq, a predicted model, not a curated record